Long non-coding RNA from Chenopodium quinoa (quinoa), 622 nucleotides. RefSeq lists it as uncharacterized. The transcript has 2 exons. The record is from RefSeq and is a predicted model, not a curated record. NCBI's taxonomy places the organism in Eukaryota, Viridiplantae, Streptophyta, Magnoliopsida, Caryophyllales, Amaranthaceae.
UGCAUAGUAACAUAUAACUUUCGUGUCUCAGGCACUUGAUUGUGCCAAAUCAGAUCCGGAGAAGACUAAGAAAGUUGGGACUAAAACAUCCUUUAAGCGACUGAGCCUAAAGGAUUCUCGGAGCAAUUCAAAUUCAAAGGCUUCAGCCAGUUGGAGAUAAUUUUUAUGGUUAAUUUUGGAGGUAACCUUGAAAACUUAGAGCUCUACACAUUUGCAUCGAAUAGCUUCAGCUCCAGAUUUUGACAAAUUGUACCUGGCACGUCAUUUCAUGUGGUUGCUCAACUUCCAGAAAGGUGCAAUUUUAUUAACUUUUUCUAUCAAUCGUUCUGGCUAUCAUGUACGAGUUUCAUGCCCAUGGAGUUGAAAGCUGAGCAGAUCAAAUGCUCCAUUUUUAUUUUUAUUUUUUUUCUUUUUCCUUUUCUUUUUCAUAGUCUUGAAGUUAGGUAUAUUUUGUCAUUUAUCUUGUGAGAAACUGAUUCUUGUAGUUGAUACUAAUUGAAAUUAGAAUUCUUUAUCAUAUGCUAGUUGGUGUUGGCAUAGUGUCAAUGGUCCUCUACGUCUGAUGACUUUGAAAGCUGUUUGUACAAUGUAGUUUUUGAGAUAGGACAUUAUGGUUCAGUUU